CUCUCAUAUUUGAACUUUUUCACACAUUUUCUAAAUUUUUUUCUUUUUUUCUAAUAUUUUGGUUUUUAAGAAAUCAGAGAAACCACUGGCAACAGUGCUUUCUCUUCCGGCACCGGCGACCAUCCGGCCUUUUCACUAUCACAUAUACUUUCCAACUCUCAUAGAAACCACUCUUCCACAAGACAUCUCGAUUGAUUCCUCUGUGCCAUUCUUUCUCUUAAGUCUUAACUAUAUUGGAUUCGCCCAGUCGUGGACAAGAAAACAAGCAUUGUCUUUCAACUUUCAACAUGGUUAUUGGUGUUUAUCUAUAUUUCUAGUUUUUUAAGGGUCUGUUGCAUCAGACAGUAUAUAAUCAAUAAAUAACAACUGCCUCAUGCCAACAAAUCAUAUGUUAAGAUGAAAUGGGUAAGUAAAUAGUAACACUCUUUCACACCUUCUCGGGAAUCAAUGCGAACAUGCUCAAUCCUGAUAACACCAUUAAUCGAUAGUGGAUAGAGCGUACGUUGGCCACCGCAGUAGAGGGGAGGAGCUCAGUCUACUCGGUAGCCACUGAGAGAUAUCCAUGGGCUGAUAAUCAUACCGCCCUUAUUCUGAAUCUCAUGCAGUUCACUUUCAUGCUGAAGGUGAUGGAGAAGAAGAAAAGUUUGAGCUGGUUUGGUGUCUUCCCCGUCUACUACGACGGCGUUGUUCGAAUCGACCCCAACGACGCAUAUUGCAACGAUUUAGAGUACGACGCCGCUGCUCGGCAACAUUUGCCCGGAGGACCGGCAAGAGUCAAUUAUCCUGUUUUUGAGUACUGUAACACACACCAAGCUCCAGUCGGGCGUGAGGCUAUAGAUCUGAGGAAGCUCACCAGGCAUGGAGGGUUCAUAGUUCUGAUGAUGACCGGAGCCUGGAAACGCUCAUCAAGAUUUCUGACAGAUGGAUGGACCCUCCCGCCCAGGGGACGAAGAAGAAGAGGUCGACCAUGCCUCCCUUACCCAUUCUGAUAACGUAUGGGGGGCUAUGACUAAAUAUAUAGAAUUCAAUAGGGUUUACGAGAGUUUUUCUGCCGCACUGUAUAUAUUUGUGACUGUGGUGUGUCAGAUGGUGCCCCAGACGGCUGAGGAGCAGUACUGGCUCCGCUUAGAGACGAAGAUCACAGUACCUCGCUUUUCUUCUUUUCGAGGUAGAUAUAUAAGAAAAUGUGUGAGAGUUCAAAUAUGAGAGCUGGAGAGUACCUCUGGAUGAUCGCCGAUUGUUGUUGUAGGUCACCGGUGCUGGAGAAGAAUAAGAGAACUCAGGUGAGGGGAGAAGAACGAGGGGUCAGGGGACCGACUGCUCAAGCACGCGGGAAUGUGAAAUGUGAAAAUGAGGGUUUUGAGAUUUGAAAUUGGUUUUGGGAUAGUUUUGGGGCUAACUGGACGAGUUAACGGCCGUCCCGUUAGCCCCGCACACGGGACAAGUUAACUGCAUGCGAAGGGACAGAUGGCGGACGUUCGGCGUGUGAGGCAUUUGUGGGGCGCAUAUUUGAAUUCCUUAGUCUUCCUCUUCAUCCUUUUUAUUAGAAACAUUAUUGAUGGAUUGUAAUUCCGAGCAGUUUUAUGUUUUUAUUAAUGA
Molecule: non-coding RNA, 1599 nt
Organism: Nelumbo nucifera (sacred lotus)
Lineage: Eukaryota; Viridiplantae; Streptophyta; Magnoliopsida; Proteales; Nelumbonaceae
Source: RefSeq, a predicted model, not a curated record